Molecule: long non-coding RNA, 563 nt
Organism: Paramormyrops kingsleyae
Lineage: Eukaryota; Metazoa; Chordata; Actinopteri; Osteoglossiformes; Mormyridae
Source: RefSeq, a predicted model, not a curated record
GUUUUUCUUCGAACGCGACGCCACUUCGUGGUGAAGGCUGGACAGAUUGAGGGGCGCCCCCUGGUGGUUGCUGGACCCUAAGCAGCUGCCCGGCCCUGUGUAGCAUCCCGUUGAUACAAGUGAUCUUGAUGUGCUUGACGUCCGUCUUGAUCCUGCGACAGAGCCAGAAGCAGGGCGGCUUAAGCGGGGGGAGUCGACUAGCAAUACGAAGCUCAAGGGAAAGUUCCGCUUGAGGGCAAAACAGCGAAGCACGUCCUAGGAUUUGAGCCAGCAACCUUCUGGCGCAGCAGUCUGAGGUUCUCACUUGAUGCUGAUGGCGAAGUCGUCAUACUCCUUCUGCCGGACGAGAAUGCUGCAAGGAACAAUGAAAAACGGGAAGAGGGGAAGAAAGAAAGCCAGAAGGGGACGGAGGAGAGGAACCAAAAACUCAUGAGCAAGGAGAAGACAAGUGACUCUGGGCAAACUCUGGGGAGGCAAGGAUGGCUGGAUGCCCCCAGGCACAGUGACAUCACAGAAAACAGAGAGAAUGGGCCAGCUGUAAUAAAACGAGGGAGUAAACUGUG